This 117-nucleotide ribosomal RNA is filed under the name Christensenellaceae bacterium. The record is from RNAcentral. Lineage: Bacteria; Bacillati; Bacillota; Clostridia; Christensenellales; Christensenellaceae.
UCCGGUGGUGAUGGCAAAGGGGAUCCACCUGUACCCAUUCCGAACACAGAAGUUAAGCCCUUUCACGCCGAAGAUACUUGGCUGGUAAUGGCCCGGGAAAAUAGGUAGCCGCCGGAG